Molecule: ribosomal RNA, 322 nt
Filed under: uncultured Limnofilidae
Lineage: Eukaryota; Cercozoa; Limnofilidae
Description: SSU rRNA
Rfam family: Eukaryotic small subunit ribosomal RNA
Source: RNAcentral
GAUUUCUGGCUUGAAACAUUAAGCCGGCCACGGUUUCGUGUGUUAGUGCUUGAUGUUCUGGCCAUCCUUCCAAUCGCUAUUCAUCUUUCUUCAUUGAUGGGUGAGUGGUAUUGGAUCUUUUACUUUGAAAAAAUUAGAGUGUUUCAAGCAGGCUUUAUGCUAUGAAUACAUUAGCAUGGAAUAAUAAUUUAGGACUUCGGUUCUAUUUUGUUGGUUUCUAGGACUGAAGUAAUGAUUGAUAGGGAUAGUUGGGGGUGCUAGUAUUCAGCGGCCAGAGGUGAAAUUCUCGGAUUCGCUGAAGACUAACUUAUGCGAAAGCAUU